Molecule: ribosomal RNA, 496 nt
Filed under: uncultured bacterium
Lineage: Bacteria
Description: partial 16S ribosomal RNA
Rfam family: Bacterial small subunit ribosomal RNA
Source: RNAcentral
GAUGAACGCUGGCGGCGUGCCUAAUACAUGCAAGUCGAGCGAACGGACCAGAAGCUUGUUUCUCUGUUGUUAGCGGAGGACGGGUGUGUAACACGUGGAUACCCUACCUAUAAGACUGGGAUAACUUCGGAAAACCGUAGCUAAUCCCGGAUAAUCUUUUGAUCCGCAUGGUUCAAAAGUGAAAGACGGUCUUGCUGUAACUUCUAGAUGGAUCCGCGCUGCAUUAGCUAGUUGGUACGGUAACGGCUUACCACGGCAACAAUGCAUAGCCGACCUGAGGGGGGGAUCGGCCACACAGGAACUGAGACACGGUCCAGACACCGACGGGAGGCAGAGGUAGGGAAGCGACGGCAAUGGGCGAAAGCCUGACGGAGCAACGCCGCGUGGGUGAUGAAGGGCUGCGGGUCGGAAAACGCUGUUAUGGGGGAAAAACAUAUUUGUAAGUAACGGUGCACAUCUGAACGGAACCUAAUCAGAAGGCCACGCCAAACUACUG